Molecule: long non-coding RNA, 806 nt
Organism: Canis lupus familiaris (dog)
Lineage: Eukaryota; Metazoa; Chordata; Mammalia; Carnivora; Canidae
Exons: 4
Source: RefSeq, a predicted model, not a curated record
AGCUGAUGCCCUCAUUCACCGCCGCAGCAUCCAGGUUGCCUGGAAAAUGUACCUGCACACUCUCUGUGAUCUUUCACUCAAGAUAAGGAACUGUGACUUCCCCAAAAUCAGGCAGUUGCUGGGUUUAGAAGGAUUCCCUUGUUGCUGAAUCUUUAGACCAAGGAGGCUUCACACCCAGCAUGGAGCCCAAUGUGGUGCUUGAACUCAUGACCCUGAGAUCAAGAUCCAAGCUGAGAUCAAGAAUCAGAUGCUUAAUGGACUGAGCCACCCAGGCGCCCCUGUAACAAAUAAUUCCAUUAAAUACUGUUGAAACAGUAUUUUACCGAGGGAGGCUUACAGAUAUAUUUUGCAGCCAACAUGAUAUGCUAAGGUACUUGAAGGCAAGAACUGUGCCUCAUUUACUGCAGGAUCUUCAGGAAAUACCACAAUGCUAGUGUUACAGGAUUUCUCCUCCUCUGGUGCUUGGGGUUCUUGGUCAUGCCGUUUUGAAGAAUGAAGAGGUAAGACCAGCAGAAGAGUGGUGGGCAGCAAAGCAAUGUUUAUUGAGUGACAGUGAAAUUUAUUGAGUGAUAGAGUACAAAGGUCCCAAAGAGGUAGAGGACCUGAGAGGGUGGCCCUCAGAGUUUCUAAGUCUAGGGUUUUUGCUUUUUAAAAAAUUUUAUUUAUUUGAUGGAGAGAGAAUAAGCAGGGGGAGCAGCAGGAGAGGAAGAAGCAGGCUCCCUGGAGCAGGAUGAGGGAUUUGAUCCAGAGACCCUGGGAUCAUGAACCAAGCCAAGGACAGACACCUGACCAACUGAGCCACCCAG